RNAcentral lists this ribosomal RNA (252 nucleotides) under uncultured bacterium. Its description in RNAcentral is "partial 16S ribosomal RNA". It matches the Rfam family "Bacterial small subunit ribosomal RNA", at positions 524 to 776 of the family's 1533-position model. The record is from RNAcentral.
UACGGAGGAUGCGAGCGUUAUCCGGAUUUAUUGGGUUUAAAGGGUGCGUAGGCGGAUCGUUAAGUCAGUGGUCAAAUUGAGGGGCUCAACCCCUUCCCGCCAUUGAAACUGGCGAUCUUGAGUGGAAGAGAAGUAUGCGGAAUGCGUGGUGUAGCGGUGAAAUGCGUAGAUAUCACGCAGAACCCCGAUUGCGAAGGCAGCAUGCCGGCUUCCUACUGACGCUGAAGCACGAAAGCGUGGGGAUCGAACAGG